Molecule: ribosomal RNA, 627 nt
Filed under: Platerodrilini sp. UPOL 001388
Lineage: Eukaryota; Metazoa; Arthropoda; Insecta; Coleoptera; Lycidae
Description: eukaryotic LSU rRNA
Rfam family: Eukaryotic large subunit ribosomal RNA
Source: RNAcentral
GGAGUCUAGCAUGUGCGCGAGUCAUUGGGACUAGCGAAACCUAAAGGCGAAAUGAAAGUGAAAGUCGGCCUCGCGCCGACCUAGGGAGGAUGGGUCGCGUUACGGCGAGACCCCGCACUCCCGGGGCGUCUCAUUCUCAUUGCGAGAAGAGGCGCACCAAGAGCGUACACGCUGGGACCCGAAAGAUGGUGAACUAUGCCUGGUCAGGACGAAGUCAGGGGAAACCCUGAUGGAGGUCCGAAGCGAUUCUGACGUGCAAAUCGAUCGUCGGAACUGGGUAUAGGGGCGAAAGACUAAUCGAACCAUCUAGUAGCUGGUUCCCUCCGAAGUUUCCCUCAGGAUAGCUGGCGCUCGCUUUUGCGAGUCUCAUCUGGUAAAGCGAAUGAUUAGAGGCAUUGGGGUCGAAACGGCCUCAACCUAUUCUCAAACUUUAAAUGGGUGAGAUCUCCGGCUUGCUUGAAACGUGAAGCCGCGAGAUCGGAUCAGAGUGCCAAGUGGGCCAUUUUUGGUAAGCAGAACUGGCGCUGUGGGAUGAACCAAACGCAGAGUUAAAGCUCCAAAAUCAACGCUUAUGGGAUACCAUGAAAGGCGUUGGUAACUUAAGACAGCAGGACGGUGGCCAUGGAA